CCUACGGGUGGCAGCAGUGAGGAAUAGUGGGCAAUGGACGAGAGCCUGAACCAGCAAAGGAGCGUGAAGGAUGAAUGCCCUAUGGGUGGUAAACUUCUUUUAUAUGGGAAUAAAAUGCUCCACGUGUGGGAUUUUGUAUGUACCCUAUGAAUAAGGAUCGGCUAACUCCGUGCCAGCAGCCGCGGUAAUACGGAGGGUCCGUGCGUUAUCCUGAUUUAUUGGGUUUAGAGGGAGCGUAGGUGGAUUGUUAAGUCAGUUGUGAAAGUUUGCGGCUCAACCGUACAAUUGCAGUUGAAACUGGCAGUCUUGAGUACAGUAGAGGUGGGCGGAAUUCGUGGUGUAGCGGUGAAAUGCUUAGAUAUCACGAAGAACUCCGAUUGCGAAGGCAGUUCACUGGACUGCAACUGACACUGAGGCUCGAAAGUGUGGGUAUCAAACAGGAUUAGAUACCCGUGUAGUC
This 460-nucleotide ribosomal RNA is filed under the name uncultured bacterium. RNAcentral's name for it is "partial 16S ribosomal RNA". It matches the Rfam family "Bacterial small subunit ribosomal RNA", at positions 338 to 795 of the family's 1533-position model. The record is from RNAcentral.